GAGAUGUAAGGGGCAGGGACUUAAUGGUAGGGAUAGAACUUGUGACUGACAGGAAGGAAAAAACCCCUGCCAAAGCAGAAACUGCAGUCUUGUUUGAGAAACUUAGAGAGCUUGGCAUCUUAGUCGGCAAAGGUGGAAUACAUGGAAAUGUGUACCAUAUCAAACCACCAAUGUGCUUCACCAAAGAUGAUGCAGACUGUCUUGUUGACGCGUUGGACUAUUCAAUGUCAAAGUUGUGAGGAGCUACCUGCCAGAAGCUGAGAUGAAUAUGUAAUUAUUCACAUUUUUUAGCAUCGAUCUCUUCUGAUAGGUUGCUUUCAAUAAUAUCGAGCAAAUAUCUAAC
Molecule: long non-coding RNA, 343 nt
Organism: Populus euphratica (Euphrates poplar)
Lineage: Eukaryota; Viridiplantae; Streptophyta; Magnoliopsida; Malpighiales; Salicaceae
Exons: 3
Source: RefSeq, a predicted model, not a curated record